This 484-nucleotide ribosomal RNA is filed under the name uncultured bacterium. RNAcentral's name for it is "partial 16S ribosomal RNA". It matches the Rfam family "Bacterial small subunit ribosomal RNA", at positions 30 to 507 of the family's 1533-position model. The record is from RNAcentral.
AUUGAACGCUGGCGGCAGGCCUAACACAUGCAAGUCGAGCGGAUGAAGGGAGCUUGCUCCUGGAUUCAGCGGCGGACGGGUGAGUAAUGCCUAGGAAUCUGCCUGGUAGUGGGGGAUAACGUCCGGAAACGGGCGCUAAUACCGCAUACGUCCUGAGGGAGAAAGUGGGGGAUCUUCGGACCUCACGCUAUCAGAUGAGCCUAGGUCGGACUAGCUAGUUGGUGGGGUAAAGGCCUACCAAGGCGACGAUCCGUAACUGGUCUGAGAGGAUGAUCAGUCACACUGGAACUGAGACACGGUCCAGACUCCUACGGGAGGCAGCAGUGGGGAAUAUUGGACGAUGGGCGAAAGCCUGAUCCAGCCAUGCCGCGUGUGUGAAGAAGGUCUUCGGAUUGUAAAGCACUUUAAGUUGGGAGGAAGGGCAGUAAGUUAAUACCUUGCUGUUUUGACGUUACCAACAGAAUAAGCACCGGCUAACUUCGUG